Molecule: ribosomal RNA, 253 nt
Filed under: uncultured bacterium
Lineage: Bacteria
Description: partial 16S ribosomal RNA
Rfam family: Bacterial small subunit ribosomal RNA
Source: RNAcentral
UACAGAGGUCUCAAGCGUUGUUCGGAUUCAUUGGGCGUAAAGGGUGCGUAGGCGGCGCGGUAAGUCGGGUGUGAAAUCUCGGGGCUUAACUCCGAAACUGCAUUCGAUACUGCCGUGCUUGAGGACUGGAGAGGAGACUGGAAUUUACGGUGUAGCGGUGAAAUGCGUAGAUAUCGUAAGGAAGACCAGUGGCGAAGGCGGGUCUCUGGACAGUUCCUGACGCUGAGACACGAAGGUCAGGGGAGCAAACGGG